AAGUCGUAACAAGGUUUCCGUAGGUGAACCUGCGGAAGGAUCAUUAACACGUAUCCAACGUUAAAAAACCCUGUGAACCUUUAUUGUGCUUCUACACUUGUUAAAAAGUAGCAAUCCCUAGUAAAUCAUUGCCGAACAGUUUUCGAUUUAGGGACUUCUGCAAAAAGUGUACUUAAGCGCGAGGCAAGUGGCCUGGCCUCCCCAAGGUGUCAGUGAAGUGGAAGUGUCACUGGCGUUGGAAGGAGGACGCAGUCACGAUCGCUAGAGGCCAACACGGCCGGCGACCGGGUCACUGGGCUCUGCCCCCCUCUAACCACAUUGCUUAUGCAUUUAGAACGGCUAUCAGUCGUUUAACCAAAAUUUAACAACUGUUAACAAUGGAUAUCUUGGUUCUC
Molecule: unclassified non-coding RNA, 395 nt
Filed under: fungal sp.
Lineage: Eukaryota; Fungi
Description: partial internal transcribed spacer region
Rfam family: Eukaryotic small subunit ribosomal RNA (bases 1-46)
Source: RNAcentral